CGGGGCGUGGCUCAGCUUGGUAGAGCGGCCGUUUCGGGUGCGGCAGGUCGUAGGUUCAAAUCCUAUCGCCCCGACCA
RNAcentral lists this transfer RNA (77 nucleotides) under Pseudomonadota bacterium. Its description in RNAcentral is "tRNA-Pro". It matches the Rfam family "tRNA". Rfam says of the family: Transfer RNA (tRNA) molecules are approximately 80 nucleotides in length. Their secondary structure includes four short double-helical elements and three loops (D, anti-codon, and T loops). RNAcentral also lists the same sequence under 1 other name. Lineage: Bacteria; Pseudomonadati; Pseudomonadota. The record is from RNAcentral.